UUUCAUGGAGUUUUGCUUUGAUGCAUUACUUUAGUGUUUGUGAAAUUCAGGGCAUGGAUUGAAUCUAUGUGUAGUUCGAACUAGCCCUACUUGAGCAUUUCCUUUGGAUGGUAAAUGACUGGUUUUGUUUAUCAGUUUAUAAGAGUUUAUCAAUUAAAAAUAUUAUCAGUUGGCAUCACUUUUGGCGGUCCGGCAAUACUCCGCUAUAAGGAUCGAUUUAAAGAAGCUGUCUUCUUGGCUUUUGACUCACCAUCCUGGAAGGUUAAUGGGGCUGCUGAUCAUCUUCUACGAUCCCUUCUUGGAAGUUAGGUUCAUUAUUAUCCAAUAGAUCAGAUCUCAAGUUUCAAGUGUCUUCUUCUCUGCUUCAAGCCUUCAACCCUCUCAGUCAGGUCAUGACAAAGAGCAAGGCAAUGGGUAUCCAUAUAAUCAACGAAGUCACAGAGCAAAUCAUGACAGAAACCUUAUAUGGUGAUAGUCGUAGGCUGCAGCAAGUCUUGGCUGACUUCUUAUUGAGUUGCAUCAAUUUUACGCCAACCAGAGGUCAAGUUGUUGUUGCAGCCUCUUUAACGAAAGAUCAAUUAGGCAAAUCAGUUCAUUUGGCUUACUUGGAGAUAAGCAUAACACAUGAUGGUGUUGGUGUUCCGGAAACACUGCUGAACAAAAUGUUCGGACGAGACGGACAAGAAUCCGAGGAGGGUAUUAGUCUGCUCAUCAGCAGAAAGUUGCUGAAGCUCAUGAAUGGAGACGUGCGGUAUCUGAGAGAAGCUGGCUAAUCAUCUUUCAUCUUAACAGUUGAACUGGCUGCUUCCCAGAAAUUGAUUGCUUAAAGUUAUAGGAAAUAAAGAAAUACUAUCAGUCUUUGUGCAUCAGAAAAGCAAGUGUGCAAGAA
Arachis duranensis is the source of this 889-nucleotide long non-coding RNA. RefSeq lists it as uncharacterized. The transcript is spliced from 4 exons. The record is from RefSeq and is a predicted model, not a curated record. NCBI's taxonomy places the organism in Eukaryota, Viridiplantae, Streptophyta, Magnoliopsida, Fabales, Fabaceae.